UACGUAGGGGGCAAGCGUUGUCCGGAUUUAUUGGGCGUAAAGAGCGUGUAGGCGGCCAGACAGGUCCGUUGUGAAAACUCGAGGCUCAACCUCGAGACGUCGAUGGAAACCGUCUGGCUAGAGUCCGGAAGAGGAGAGUGGAAUUCCUGGUGUAGCGGUGAAAUGCGCAGAUAUCAGGAAGAACACCCGUGGCUAAGGCGGUUCUCUAGUACGGUACUGACGCUGAGACGCGAAAGCGUGGGGAGCGAACAGG
This 253-nucleotide ribosomal RNA is filed under the name uncultured bacterium. RNAcentral's name for it is "partial 16S ribosomal RNA". It matches the Rfam family "Bacterial small subunit ribosomal RNA", at positions 524 to 776 of the family's 1533-position model. The record is from RNAcentral.